This 455-nucleotide ribosomal RNA is filed under the name uncultured bacterium. Its description in RNAcentral is "bacterial SSU rRNA". It matches the Rfam family "Bacterial small subunit ribosomal RNA", at positions 340 to 786 of the family's 1533-position model. The record is from RNAcentral.
UACGGAAGGCAGCAGUGGGGAAUAUUGCACAAUGGGCGCAAGCCUGAUGCAGCCAUGCCGCGUGUAUGAAAAAGGCCUUCGGGUUGUAAAGUACUUUCAGUCGUGAGGAAGGUGUUAAGGUUAAUAACCUUAGCAAUUGACGUUAGCGACAGAAGAAGCACCGGCUAACUCCGUGCCAGCAGCCGCGGUAAUACGGAGGGUGCGAGCGUUAAUCGGAAUUACUGGGCGUAAAGGGCACGCAGGCGGUUAAUUAAGUUGGAUGUGAAAUCCCCGGGCUUAACCUGGGAAUGGCAUUCAAGACUGGUUAGCUAGAGUCUUGUAGAGGGGGUAGAAUUCCAUGUGUAGCGGUGAAAUGCGUAGAGAUGUGGAGGAAUACCGGUGGCGAAGGCGGCCCCUGGACAAAGGCUGACGCUCAUGUGCGAAAGCGUGGGGAGCGAAACAGGGAUUUAGAUACC